Molecule: non-coding RNA, 73 nt
Organism: Podarcis lilfordi (Lilford's wall lizard)
Lineage: Eukaryota; Metazoa; Chordata; Lepidosauria; Squamata; Lacertidae
Source: the annotation of a GenBank genome assembly
GACAUCCAUUGCUCAAUGGUAGAGCAUCUCCUUUGAAGUCAGAAGGUGACAGGUUCAAUUCCUGGCAUCUCCA